Molecule: ribosomal RNA, 250 nt
Filed under: uncultured prokaryote
Description: partial 16S ribosomal RNA
Rfam family: Bacterial small subunit ribosomal RNA
Source: RNAcentral
UACGUAGGGGGCAAGCGUUAUCCGGAUUUACUGGGUGUAAAGGGAGCGUAGACGGCAAGGCAAGUCCGAUGUGAAAACCCGGGGCUCAACCGCGGGAUUGCAUUGGAAACUGUUUAGCUUGAGUACUGGAGGGGUAAGCGGAAUACCUAGCGUAGCGGUGAAAUGCGUAGAUAUUAGGAGGAACACCGGCGGCGAAGGCGGCUUUCUGGACAGUAACUGACGUUGGGGCUCGAAAGCGUGGGGAGCAGAC